AAAAAACGUCGUUUGCUUCUUUUGAAACCUUAAUCUUGUAAUAAGAGUUAUAAAUCCAGAUUUUGCAGGGUUUUGGAUGCUCAUGAAAAAUGUAUUUUGUUUGUUGACCUUGCUUGGUGAAAGCUCAAGCUUUUGGUAAGAAAGGCUUGGGCUAAAAAAAAAUUUCAUCCGAAUUUAUCAACUUUGAACAGUUAAACAGCAGCUUAAGGAUACUCAUUUCAUACUUCUCUAAUACUCUUUUUACUUAAGAUUGCUAUUUUGCUUUUCUCUCA
This 272-nucleotide unclassified non-coding RNA is filed under the name Hevea brasiliensis (rubber tree). Lineage: Eukaryota; Viridiplantae; Streptophyta; Magnoliopsida; Malpighiales; Euphorbiaceae. The record is from RNAcentral.